Molecule: long non-coding RNA, 239 nt
Filed under: Physcomitrium patens
Lineage: Eukaryota; Viridiplantae; Streptophyta; Bryopsida; Funariales; Funariaceae
Description: long non-coding RNA (PPAT_LNC005024)
Source: RNAcentral
AUUAUAAUCUUUAAUUGCUAUAUAUAAAGAAACAAUCUCAUGGAUAACAUCUUCAAAAGAUAACAAACAACCAUCUAUGACUUUUACAUAUACGGGUUUAAUUUUCUUAACUAACAAUAUUUCUUAUUUUUUGAUAAAGUCUUUAUUUAUAAAAUAGGCUAAGGCUCUUGAAUCUAACAACGAUAAGACCUUAUAAUAUUUUGGUCCUAAUUAAACUUCUCUUUUAAAAUAAGGCAAGA